RNAcentral lists this ribosomal RNA (462 nucleotides) under uncultured bacterium. RNAcentral's name for it is "bacterial SSU rRNA". It matches the Rfam family "Bacterial small subunit ribosomal RNA", at positions 28 to 478 of the family's 1533-position model. The record is from RNAcentral.
GACGAACGCUGGCGGCGUGCCUAAUACAUGCAAGUCGAGCGGUUGAAGCCUUCGGGUGGAGAUAGCGGCGGACGGGUGAGUAACACGUAGGUAACCUGCCUAACAGACUGGGAUAACUACCGGAAACGGUAGCUAAGACCGGAUACGUCAACAUGAGGGCAUCCUCGAGUUGAGAAAAGCGGAGCAAUCUGCUACUGAUAGAUGGACCUGCGGCGCAUUAGCUAGUUGGUGAGGUAGAGGCUCACCAAGGCGACGAUGCGUAGCCGACCUGAGAGGGUGAACGGCCACACUGGGACUGAGACACGGCCCAGACUCCUACGGGAGGCAGCAGUAGGGAAUCUUCGGCAAUGGACGAAAGUCUGACCGAGCAACGCCGCGUGAGUGAUGAAGGUUUUCGGAUCGUAAAACUCUGUUGCCAGGGAAGAAUGGUUGAGAGAGUAACUGCUCUUGAUUUGACGGUAC